This 79-nucleotide transfer RNA is filed under the name Niveomyces insectorum RCEF 264. RNAcentral's name for it is "Sporothrix insectorum RCEF 264 tRNA". It matches the Rfam family "tRNA". Rfam says of the family: Transfer RNA (tRNA) molecules are approximately 80 nucleotides in length. Lineage: Eukaryota; Fungi; Ascomycota; Sordariomycetes; Hypocreales; Cordycipitaceae. The record is from Rfam by way of RNAcentral.
GGGGGGGUAGUGUAGUAGUUAAGCACCUAGAAGACGCCGUAACGCCGCGACGUCGUGGGUUCGAAUCCCACCCCUUCCA